AAAUUGGAAUAAGUGUUUAUAACUUUGGAUAUUUACCGUCGCCAUAUUGACAGGGUGUCACGCGAGUGUGGUCUGACUAGGGGAGAGGUCUGCAGGAGUAUGAUAGUCGCCUAGACAAAUUCACGGCAAGGGAGUGCUGGAAGCGAUGGGGCCACCUGAUCGAUUUGUAUAACCAUGUGGAGCUUGAUUAUAACAAACCUCAGCUUGUCGCACGGUACGGUCAGAUUUACACGAUGCUGGAGGAUUACUCUGACCGUGUCGCAGAACGUGGGAAUGUCCCAUGGAUUAAAUUCUCAGAAGGCGAAUCCGAUUCCGACUAAAUAUGCGAAGAAUUCCGCCUCCCCCCCAUCACUAAAUAAUUAAUUUAUUAUAAUUUAUCGAACUUUAUUGUUUUUUCAAAAAAAAAAUCAAUUGUCAUUUUCUGACCAUUUGAUGUGAAUUUCAAAUAAACAUUUCUUUUCUCCA
Diachasma alloeum is the source of this 465-nucleotide long non-coding RNA. RefSeq lists it as uncharacterized. NCBI's taxonomy places the organism in Eukaryota, Metazoa, Arthropoda, Insecta, Hymenoptera, Braconidae. The transcript is spliced from 2 exons. The record is from RefSeq and is a predicted model, not a curated record.